This 253-nucleotide ribosomal RNA is filed under the name uncultured bacterium. RNAcentral describes it as "partial 16S ribosomal RNA". It matches the Rfam family "Bacterial small subunit ribosomal RNA", at positions 524 to 776 of the family's 1533-position model. The record is from RNAcentral.
UACAGAGGGUGCAAGCGUUGUUCGGAAGUAUUGGGCGUAAAGCGCGUGUAGGCGGCUUUGCAAGUCGGGUGUGAAAGCCCUCAGCUCAACUGAGGAAGUGCGCCCGAAACUGCAGAGCUUGAGUACCGGAGAGGAUGGCGGAAUUCCCCAAGUAGAGGUGAAAUUCGUAGAUAUGGGGAGGAACACCGGUGGCGAAGGCGGCCAUCUGGACGGAUACUGACGCUGAGACGCGAAAGCGUGGGGAGCAAACAGG